AGCAUAUCAAUAAGCGGAGGAAAAGAAACCAACAGGGAUUGCCCUAGUAACGGCGAGUGAAGCGGCAAGAGCUCAAAUUUGAAAGCUGGCCCCCUCGGGGCCCGCAUUGUAAUUUGCAGAGGAUGCUUCGGGAGCGGCCCCCGUCUAAGUGCCCUGGAACGGGCCGUCAUAGAGGGUGAGAAUCCCGUCUGGGAUGGGGUGUCCGCGCCCGUGUGAAGCUCCUUCGACGAGUCGAGUUGUUUGGGAAUGCAGCUCUAAAUGGGUGGUAAAUUUCAUCUAAAGCUAAAUAUUGGCCGGAGACCGAUAGCGCACAAGUAGAGUGAUCGAAAGAUGAAAAGCACUUUGAAAAGAGAGUUAAAAAGCACGUGAAAUUGUUGAAAGGGAAGCGCUUGCGACCAGACUCGCUCGCGGGGUUCAGCCGGCAUUCGUGCCGGUGUACUUCCCCGCGGGCGGGCCAGCGUCGGUUUGGGCGGCCGGUCAAAGGCCCUCGGAAUGUAACGCCCCCCGGGGCGCCUUAUAGCCGAGGGUGCCAUGCGGCCUGCCCGGACCGAGGAACGCGCUUCGGCUCGGACGCUGGCAUAAUGGUCGUAAACGACCCGUCUUGAAACACGGACCAAGGAGUCUAACAUCUACGCGAGUGUUCGGGUGUCAAACCCGUGCGCGCAGUGAAAGCGAACGGAGGUGGGAGCCCGCAAGGGUGCACCAUCGACCGAUCCUGAUGUCUUCGGAUGGAUUUGAGUAAGAGCGUAGCUGUUGGGACCCGAAAGAUGGUGAACUAUGCCUGAAUAGGGCGAAGCCAGAGGAAACUCUGGUGGAGGCUCGCAGCGGUUCUGACGUGCAAAUCGAUCGUCAAAUUUGGGUAUAGGGGCGAAAGACUAAUCGAACCAUCUAGUAGCUGGUUCCUGCCGAAGU
RNAcentral lists this ribosomal RNA (912 nucleotides) under Penicillium isariiforme. RNAcentral's name for it is "LSU rRNA". It matches the Rfam family "Eukaryotic large subunit ribosomal RNA", at positions 37 to 967 of the family's 3401-position model. Lineage: Eukaryota; Fungi; Ascomycota; Eurotiomycetes; Eurotiales; Aspergillaceae. The record is from RNAcentral.